CAGGUUCUUAAUGGAAAGAAUGAUCUUUGGCCCUAUCAGUCUGUACCACAGGUGACCUCUGAAAGUCACUUGUAAUUCUUCAGCAGGCUGGAGCCCCUGCUGCAAUGCCACAGCAGCUCACACCUUGUUGCAAUCUGAGUCUCCUGGAACAAUAAUCAUCCAGAGCCACCCUCGCUGCAGAUGGACUGGCUUCCUUUGAGCUACGUUCCUCCCACUUCUGACAUUCCUGCUGCCUUGGGAUCCAAAUCUGCGCUUCAGACUGUUUGUGAAGAAAAUUCCUUCACACAGACAAGUGGCAAGCAAAACACUUUACAUGCAGGACCAAGAUGCUCACAAUUGUGUCUACCUUUCAAGGAGUAUGACUCCACAUUCCCUACCCACUGAUGUAAAUGUUUUCUUUUUAGCAUAACUUAAGUUGUUUAAUCACAGCAUGAAAACAUUAGGCAUAUGUUCAAUUUCCAGUUAUUAUCAGUGUCAUUUCUUGUUUGGCUUAUGAGCCAUAAAGGUUCUUUUUUUAAAAAAUAUCAUUUUGUUUUGACAUUCCAGGUUCUGCAUAUUUUAAGCAGUGCUUUUGCUAGUGCUCUGUGGGUGUUUGGACUCUGGGAACCCUCUUGACUAAAUAAAUGCCUCAUCAUUCACUUUUGAUAUCUGACA
Molecule: long non-coding RNA, 654 nt
Filed under: Cyanistes caeruleus (blue tit)
Lineage: Eukaryota; Metazoa; Chordata; Aves; Passeriformes; Paridae
Description: lncRNA (ENSCCEG00000015805.1)
Source: RNAcentral